Non-coding RNA from Electrophorus electricus (electric eel), 685 nucleotides. NCBI's taxonomy places the organism in Eukaryota, Metazoa, Chordata, Actinopteri, Gymnotiformes, Gymnotidae. The record is from RefSeq and is a predicted model, not a curated record.
CCUCAACAACUCACCCACAGCUGCGUGGAAAUGCGAAAGCGCGUCGGCCAGCUGUCCGGCAGCGAGAAGCUUCUUUCCCAUCUCCAGGCUAACGCUACUGCUUCUGCACGGUGCGCUAGAUACCCGCUGCGUGCCGUUCACUGACUCACUCUAUCCGACGCCGACCAUUGGUCGUGGGGCGCUCUGAUUGGUUCAUCAUGCUCGAAACCCCGCCCACCAGGUCUUGUUCAACAGAGACCGGCCACGGCAUCCUUGCGGGCGUCGUGUUCAUCGAUGUGGCAAGUAUUUAAAAAAAAAAAAACAUUCUGGGCUCCUCGGUGUUUUAUUUUACAAAGUAAAGAUUUGCUGCCUGCGUGACACCUGCGUAGUCCCGAAGUUUAAACUUUAUUUGCAGCGACGCAAGAGGCACUUCUGAUGAGCACUUCUGCAGCUCCCAUUAGGUGUGUCUGAGUAAAGCUCUGGAUGGAAUGACUGUACAGGUGCCAGAGGCUGUGUCUGACGGUCUAGACAGCAAGAUUAAAAACAAAUACAGCGCCCUGUGAAGCCCCCACGAUGCACUGAGACGGUCUGUGACUGACCACACUUUAAUCACCAAGACGAACUGACCUCUGGAACUGACCAUUCAUUCAUAACCCAUUUGAAGCAAACAUAAAUAAAUCGAAAAUGGAUUGUCAGACAAAUGAAA